This 580-nucleotide ribosomal RNA is filed under the name Staphylococcus haemolyticus. RNAcentral's name for it is "bacterial LSU rRNA". It matches the Rfam family "Bacterial large subunit ribosomal RNA", at positions 13 to 587 of the family's 2925-position model. Lineage: Bacteria; Bacillati; Bacillota; Bacilli; Caryophanales; Staphylococcaceae. The record is from RNAcentral.
AAGGGCGCACGGUGGAUGCCUUGGCACUAGAAGCCGACGAAGGACGUUACUAACGACGAUAUGCUUUGGGUAGCUGUAAGUAAGCGUUGAUCCAGAGAUUUCCGAAUGGGGGAACCCAGCACGAGUUAUGUCGUGUUAUCGACAAGUGAAUUCAUAGCUUGUCAGAAGGCAGACCCGGAGAACUGAAACAUCUUAGUACCCGGAGGAAGAGAAAGAAAAAUCGAUUCCCUGAGUAGCGGCGAGCGAAACGGGAAGAGCCCAAACCAAUAAGCUUGCUUAUUGGGGUUGUAGGACACUCUAUACGGAGUUACAAAGGAAUAUAUUAGACGAAUCAUCUGGAAAGUUGAAUCAAAGAAGGUAAUAAUCCUGUAGUUGAAAAUAUAUUCUCUCUUGAGUGGAUCCUGAGUACGACGGAGCACGUGAAAUUCCGUCGGAAUCUGGGAGGACCAUCUCCUAAGGCUAAAUACUCUCUAGUGACCGAUAGUGAACCAGUACCGUGAGGGAAAGGUGAAAAGUACCCCGGAAGGGGAGUGAAAGAGAACUUGAAACCGUGUGCUUACAAGUAGUCAGAGCCCGUUAA